Molecule: ribosomal RNA, 470 nt
Filed under: uncultured bacterium
Lineage: Bacteria
Description: bacterial SSU rRNA
Rfam family: Bacterial small subunit ribosomal RNA
Source: RNAcentral
CCGGAUAUGACCACAGCAUGCAUGUGUUGUGGUGGAAAGAUUUAUCGGUGCAGGAUGGGCCCGCGGCCUAUCAGCUUGUUGGUGGGGUAAUGGCCUACCAAGGCGACGACGGGUAGCCGACCUGAGAGGGUGACCGGCCACACUGGGACUGAGACACGGCCCAGACUCCUACGGGAGGCAGCAGUGGGGAAUAUUGCACAAUGGGCGGAAGCCUGAUGCAGCGACGCCGCGUGAGGGAUGAAGGCCUUCGGGUUGUAAACCUCUUUCAGCAGGGACGAAGCGUGAGUGACGGUACCUGCAGAAGAAGCACCGGCUAACUACGUGCCAGCAGCCGCGGUAAUACGUAGGGUGCGAGCGUUGUCCGGAAUUACUGGGCGUAAAGAGUUCGUAAGCGGUUUGUCGCGUCGUUUGUGAAAACCCGGGGCUCAACUUCGGGCUUGCAGGCGAUACCGGCAGACUUGAGUGUUUCA